This 460-nucleotide ribosomal RNA is filed under the name uncultured bacterium. RNAcentral's name for it is "partial 16S ribosomal RNA". It matches the Rfam family "Bacterial small subunit ribosomal RNA", at positions 338 to 795 of the family's 1533-position model. The record is from RNAcentral.
CCUACGCGAGGCUGCAGUGAGGAAUAUUGGUCAAUGGGCGGAAGCCUGAACCAGCCCAGUAGCGUUCAGGAUGACGGCCCUACGGGUUGUAACCUGCUUUUAUACGGGAAUAACGCGCCUUACGUGUAGGGCUUUGCAUGUACCGUAUGAAUAAGGGAAGGCUAAUUCCGUGCCAGCCGCCGCGGUAAUACGGAAGGUCCGGGCGUUAUCCGGAUUUAUUGGGUUUAAAGGGAGCGUAGGCCGCAUGUCAAGCGUGCUGUGAAAUGUUCGGGCUCAACCCGGGCCUUGCAGCGCGAACUGGCGUGCUUGAGUCCGCGGAAAGCAGGCGGAAUUCGUCGUGUAGCGGUGAAAUGCUUAGAUAUGACGAAGAACCCCGAGUGCGAAGGCAGCUUGCUGCAGCGGAACUGACGCUGAUGCUCGAAAGCGCGGGUAUCGAACAGGAUUAGAUACCCUAGUAGUC